AACGAACGCUGGCGGCAUGCCUAACACAUGCAAGUCGAACGUGAUCCGGGGCUUCGGCUCCGGUGAAAGUGGCGGACGGGUGAGUAACGCGUGGGAACCUGCCCAGUGGUAGGGGAUAACCGCGGGAAACUGCGGCUAAUACCCUAUGCGCCCUAUGGGGCAAAGAUUUAUCGCCAUUGGAGGGGCCCGCGUCGGAUUAGGUAGUUGGUGAGGUAACGGCUCACCAAGCCUUCGAUCCGUAGCUGGCUGAGAGGAUGAUCAGCCACACUGGGACUGAGACACGGCCCAGACUCCUACGGGAGGCAGCAGUGGGAGUAUUGGACAAUGGGGGCAACCCUGAUCCAGCAAUGCCGCGUGAGUGAUGAAGGCCUUAGGGUUGUAAAGCUCUUUCGGCGGGGAAGAUGAAUGACGGUACCCGCAGAAGAAGCCCCGGCUAACUUCGUGCCAGCCGCCGCCGUAAC
This 461-nucleotide ribosomal RNA is filed under the name uncultured bacterium. RNAcentral describes it as "bacterial SSU rRNA". It matches the Rfam family "Bacterial small subunit ribosomal RNA", at positions 29 to 524 of the family's 1533-position model. The record is from RNAcentral.